ACUCCUACGGGAGGCAGCAGUGGGGAAUAUUGGACAAUGGGGGCAACCCUGAUCCAGCCAUGCCGCGUGUGUGAAGAAGGCCUUUGGUUGUAAAGCACUUUAAAGCAGGGGAGGAGAGGCUAAUGGUUAAUACCCAUUAGAUUAGACGUUACCUGCAGAAUAAGCACCGGCUAACUCUGUGCCAGCAGCCGCGGUAAUACAGAGGGUGCGAGCGUUAAUCGGAAUUACUGGGCGUAAAGCGAGUGUAGGUGGCUCAUUAAGUCACAUGUGAAACUCCCCGGGGUCUUAAACCUGGGAACUGCAUGUGAUACUGGUGGUGCUAGAAUAUGUGAGAGGGAAGUAGAAUUCCAGGUGUAGCGGUGAAAUGCGUAGAGAUCUGGAGGAAUACCGAUGGCGAAGGCAGCUUCCGUGGCAUAAAUAUUGACACUGAGAUUCGAAAGCGUGGGUAGCAAACAGGAUUAGAUACCCC
Molecule: ribosomal RNA, 469 nt
Filed under: uncultured bacterium
Lineage: Bacteria
Description: bacterial SSU rRNA
Rfam family: Bacterial small subunit ribosomal RNA
Source: RNAcentral